RNAcentral lists this unclassified non-coding RNA (490 nucleotides) under Hevea brasiliensis (rubber tree). Lineage: Eukaryota; Viridiplantae; Streptophyta; Magnoliopsida; Malpighiales; Euphorbiaceae. The record is from RNAcentral.
AGGGGAUCUACAUACUUGGGUUGCUGUCCACAAGCAAUACUGGUCAAAAUCCCAAAAAAAAAUGGAGAAAAACAGCAAGAGAUAACAAGAAAAAAAUAAAAGGAAAGGGCAAAAGCAUGUUUAACCAAAUAAAUAUUAUCAUGGCUACCAUGAAUACCAGAUUAGUAUGUUCAGCAUAAGAUGCACAUGAUCAAGAAAUAUAAGAAAAUUCUCAUCUCAGACUCCAACGCCCAUUAACAACAGCUAAAUUGCCACAGUUAAAAGUCAAGACUGAUAACAGUAACUGGUUGUGCCCAUAACAUUUAAUGGAAAUUUUAGGAAGCAUUACAAAGAUUUUAGAGUCUCUUAGUCGUUAACCAACAAAAAGGUAAAAAUAUAUGUUCAAUCAUUCAAUGCAAUUGACUGGAGAAUUUUCACAGGCUACAGGAUACAUGGCCCAAAAAUCAUAUAGAUGUAGAAAUCCUACCAGCAAUCCAGCUUGUGCAAGAGU